AUGCGAUACUUGGUGUGAAUUGCAGAAUCUCGUGAACCAUUGAGUCUUUGAACGCAAGUUGUGCCCGAGGCCUUCUGGCCGAGGGCACGCCUGCUUGGGAGUCAUGGCAUUGCCGCCUCCGCUCCACGCGAUGCUGGUGCUGAGCGCGUAGAUUGGCCCCGUGUGCCCUCGGGCACAGUCGGCCGAAGAGCGGGCAGUCGCCGGUCGUCGGGCACGAUGGGUGUUGGUCGCUCAUACGAGCGGGAACAGAACAUCGUCCCCGUCUUUUACGGACGAACCCUCAAGAGACCCUGUGUGAUCGAUCGUGGCGUCGGGGCGAAAGUGCCUCGGCACGUCGUCGAUCAACUUGUGGCCCCAAGUCAGGCGAGACCACCCGCCGAGUUUAAGCAUAUCAAUAAG
RNAcentral lists this ribosomal RNA (399 nucleotides) under Kaempferia parviflora. Its description in RNAcentral is "eukaryotic LSU rRNA". The stretch from base 1 to 104 matches the Rfam family "5.8S ribosomal RNA", at positions 53 to 154 of the family's 154-position model. Lineage: Eukaryota; Viridiplantae; Streptophyta; Magnoliopsida; Zingiberales; Zingiberaceae. The record is from RNAcentral.